GUAAGUAAGCUACUAAGGGCGUGCGGUGGAUGCCUAGGUGCCAAGAGGCGAUGAAGGACGUGGGUGGCUGCGAAAAGCUCCGGGGAGCUGUCAACCGAGCGUUGAUCCGGAGAUGUCCGAAUGGGGAAACCUAGCGCUGCGAAUAGCGGCGUUACCACCAGCUGAAUCCAUAGGCUGGCUGGAGCUAACCAGGGGAAGUGAAACAUCUCAGUACCCUGAGGAAGAGAAAACAAUGAGUGAUUCCCGAAGUAGUGGCGAGCGAAACGGGAACAGCCCAAACCGGAGUCACGCAAGUGGCUUCGGGGUAGUGGGUCCACGGUAGGACUUUGACUGGCUAGCGGAAGGCGCUGGAAAGCGUCACCACAGAGCGUGAGAGUCGCGUACGCGAAAGCUGGUUGGAGCCGAGUGGGGUACCCAAGUACGGCGGGACACGUGCAAUCCUGCCCGAAUCUGCCGGGACCAUCCGGUAAGGCUAAAUACUCCUUGGCGACCGAUAGUGAACUAGUACCGCGAGGGAAAGGUGAAAAGAACCCCGGUAAGGGGAGUCCAAAGAACCUGAAACCGCAUGUCUACAAGCAGUCCGAGCACUACGGCGCAAGCCAGUGCGAGGGCGUACCUUUUGCAUCAUGAUUCGGCGACUUAAUAUACGUAGCGAGGCUAAGCCGUUAGGUGGAGCCGGAGCGAAAGCGAGUCCUAAGAGGGCGAUUCAGUUGCGUGUAUUAUAACCCGAAGCGGGGUGAUCUACACAUGGCCAGGUUGAAGUGCGGGUAACACCGCAUGGAGGACCGAACUCAUGAAAGUUGAAAAUUUCUGGGAUGAGCUGUGUGUAGGGGUGAAAGGCCAAUCAAACUCCGUGAUAGCUGGUUCUCCCCGAAAGAUAUUUAGGUAUCGGCUCGGGUAAUUCAAUACCGGAGGUAGAGCACUGGAACGGCUAGGGGUCUCACCAGAUUACCAAACCGUACCAAACUCCGAAUGCCGGUAAUUGUUAUCCCGGGACGCAGUCAGUGGGUGAUAACGUCCAUUGGCAAGAGGGGAAUAACCCAGACCGACAGCUAAGGCCCCCAAAUCUAGUCUAAGUGAACACUAGAAAGGAUGUGGCAGGUCAUUGACAACCAGGAGGUUGGCUUAGAAGCAGCCAUCCUUUAAAGAAAGCGUAAUAGCUCACUGGUCAAGACAGGCCGCGCCGAAAAUGUAACGGGGCUCAAGACUAGUGCCGAAGCUUCGGGUCAUGCG
Molecule: ribosomal RNA, 1233 nt
Filed under: Pyxidicoccus fallax
Lineage: Bacteria; Pseudomonadati; Myxococcota; Myxococcia; Myxococcales; Myxococcaceae
Description: partial 23S ribosomal RNA
Rfam family: Bacterial large subunit ribosomal RNA
Source: RNAcentral